UGGUGAUAUUUAUAAAUUAUAAACUAUUAUCUUAAUCUUAUUUUUAUAUAAUACCUUCUUUACACUGCACACUAUAGAGUUCAUUGCUACUUUAAUACUUUAUAUCUAUUCGAGUAUGAUAUAUUGAUGUGACAAAUGUUAAUAAAUAAUAAUUAAACACGAGUGAGAGUUGUUAUUCCAUAAUCCGUAUUCGGUAGACCGUAGACGGUAUUUCGGUGUCGUGUCGGAUUAGUCGAUGGUAAUUUUUAAGUCAAUAGUUUAUAUCCGUAUUGAGUUAAUGGGUACAUAAUAUUAUUAUUCUUCUGUAAUAAACUUAUGUAAAUAUGUUUUGCGAUGAAAAUAUACCUAUAAACCUGUACCUUGGCCGACUUCCAACAAAUAUUUUACAAUUCGGCCCCAAUUCUACAAUCCGGAAAUGGGAAAAAUAUUUAUUUAAAAUGUAAAUUACCUAUGUGUGGGAAACUAUUAUCAACAUCUAAGAUAAGUUCGUCUAACUUAAAGAAGCACUUAAAAGUAGGUAAGUAAUAUUAAAAUGAAAAUUAUAUGGAACACAACAAGUAAACACUUUACAACCUUUUUAAUUUUUUUUACUGAAAUUCAAGCAUUUUAAUGUAUAAAAAAUGUACCUACCUAACAAAAAAUACUUAAUUUAUUUUUCUGAUAACGAUUAACGACUAACAAGCGAUACUUUUCGUCGAGGUCCUGACUUGCAAGUCUUCUUAAAAUGUGCACUAGAUGAAGAUAAAUCAAAGAAUAAUAAACAAAAAUCACUAUCCAUCAUUAAUGCGUUUUCUCAACCUCCGACAAUUAAUCAAGGUACCCAGUGGCGUGCUCAGGAAUUCUCGAUGGGAGGAGUUGUAGCAAAUAAAAAUCAUGAAUAAACCAUAAAAUUGACUCAUCUACCCAACUUGACAAUAGGAAUUGGUAAUUUAAAAACCGAAUCCUAAAAAAGGCAAUUUCUAAUCAAUAUAACGAGCUUUUCCCCGGCUGAAAUAUAUGCGUUUCGAUAUUAGAUUACGCAGAUUUUUUUUAUAUUUUCAAGUGAAUGAGAGAGGGUAUAACCUCUAACCUCCCCCCUGCACAAGCCACUGUAGGUACUUACCAACUAUAUCAUAAUAUAAUACCUACCUAUAAUAAAUGUGUAUAGUACUAAUAUGUGUA
Molecule: non-coding RNA, 1161 nt
Organism: Cinara cedri
Lineage: Eukaryota; Metazoa; Arthropoda; Insecta; Hemiptera; Aphididae
Source: the annotation of a GenBank genome assembly